Transfer RNA from Ipomoea nil (Japanese morning glory), 71 nucleotides. It matches the Rfam family "tRNA". Rfam says of the family: Transfer RNA (tRNA) molecules are approximately 80 nucleotides in length. Their secondary structure includes four short double-helical elements and three loops (D, anti-codon, and T loops). The record is from Rfam. Lineage: Eukaryota; Viridiplantae; Streptophyta; Magnoliopsida; Solanales; Convolvulaceae.
CCGCAUUUAGUGUAGUAGUAUCAUAGUACCCUCCUAUGGUACUGACCGGGGUUUAAAUCUCCGAAUGCGCA